RNAcentral lists this long non-coding RNA (1257 nucleotides) under Sus scrofa (pig). RNAcentral's name for it is "lncRNA (ENSSSCG00000063009.1)". The record is from RNAcentral. Lineage: Eukaryota; Metazoa; Chordata; Mammalia; Artiodactyla; Suidae.
GACGCGCUUCCUGGACAACGCCGGCCAGAGGCCCCGAACGCGAGGGCGAGCGCCGGUUUCGCGACCUCUCGGCGGAGCCUGGCCCUCCCACGAACUCAGCUCGGAAGACCCAGGCCCUGCGUCCCACUGGCUCCGGCCUCGCUCGGCGCCUCCCAGCUGAGGGACCGAGGAGGGUGCCCUGACUCGGGCCGCUCCACAGUGCGCUCAGCCGCCGCUGCCUUUGGAGGUGGCGUCUGGGCCACAGCGGAGGCUGCACUUGCCGCUGUUCACUCGCCCCCUGCGCCGCGACUUCUUCCUUUUUGGGUCAGUGGGACCCGGGCGACAGCCAGAUUCCUCAGAUGGUCCGUGCCUUGCAGCUGCGGAUCCUCCGUGCGUUGCCCAGCUCCCAGGACUUUCCUCCCCGUCCAGGCUGAGCGCCGCGGGAGCUCCAUCUUUGUGGCGCCCUGAGAGUCUCCCAGACUUCGCUGGAGCAGAGCCUCGGCCUCUUUGCCUUUCCUGGCCCUCCUAAGUUCUGAAAUGGCAGCAUUGUGCCAAGUAAUGGUCGAAGAAUGUAGGCGACUCCUGGAAGGACAUUUGCAAAUUAGUGGAAAAAUUGGUGAAGAGCCCUGAAUUGCGGGUUUCACUCAUCACCUACUCCUCAUAUGGAAACACCAUCCUGUGGCUCAAUAAAGACAGGAAUGUAAUACGGAAUGCUCUUAAAAGACUUCGGGAUAUAGUGCCUGCAGGACCCGCAAAAAUGCAGGAAGGAUUUAAAAAGGCAAAUAUGCAGAUUCAGAAAGUUUUCUACCCAAACAGGAAAGCUUCCAGCCUGAUUUACACUCUGACUGCUGGACCACUGCAGCCAUCGGCACUACAGGAGACUAAGAAGCAAUUCGUGGGAAAUUCCUGUAAGGACGUUAUGGGUGGAGACACAUUCUAUGCUUGUGUAGGAGAAUCCUACCAACUUGGGUUUUUCGCACAAGGCCUAAAUCCACAAAAAAUUGGAGAAUAUAUUUGCAGAUAUAAUUUCAGCGAAUCCAUAAUCUACAGUGCACCAGCACCAAGGUCUCCCACAGGAGAACCAGUACCAUGGUCCUGGGAUCCUCUGCUGACCGAUACACUGCACCUGGUGGGAGGCUGAUCAGAAGUGUCCCAGCAAACUGUUUGUUGCCGUAAGCCCUGAUGCCCUGAUGAGGACUGAUUUGCUUGACUCUCAUUGUAUUUUCCUCUGUUUAAAACAUCUGGGAAAACAUUUUAGUAAAUAUAGGAGUUCCCAUC